UUUAGGCUUCCCGGCCAAGUGGCGACGGCGCAGCUCUUUGGAAGAGUGGCAAGGAAGCCGGCGGCGUUGCGAAGCCCCGGCACGGACGGGCGAGCCGGAGGGGGAGAGACCCUCUUCAUAUAAAAGUGGCGAGGCUUAAAAGGGAAUCGCCGGCAGAGGCUUAAACGAAAAAAGAAAAAGAAAAAAGAACCUUGAUUUAGCUACCUUUUCUUUCUUGCUGUCUCUCUCUCUCUUUUCUUUCUUUCUUUUUGCCAUUUGAUUCCAGAACGGGGGAAAAAAAGAGAGAGAGAGAGAGAGAAAAGGAAAAAAAAAAGCCUCGGCGUGACAGAUUCGGUUAAAAAAAAAAGAAAGAAAAGCGGAGGAGAAGAUACCGAGGAAAAGAAUAGCUGAACGCUCAUUAAAACUGGAAAAUUCGGACUGAACCGUGUACGUAUGCUUGGAACCUUCUUUUAAAAAGAAAAGUAGAUUUAUUUUAUUGUAGCGAGGAGGAGGAGGUGGAAGAUGAAAAAACAAUUCCUAAUCUAAUUCCGUUUCUGGGCAACUGCUUGCCAUCUGGGAAAGAAAGCGCUCGGCUCUUAAAAAGCUUUUCUCUCCCCUCCCCUUCAAAAAAAAAAAAAAACCAACAACAACCAAAACCAGGAAUUGUUUUAAUUCCUUCUUUUUUGUGGCUGUUGCCGGGGUUAGACAUGGCAGAAUCCAGAAGUGACUUCUCUUGAGACUUUGCUUGCUGACUUGACAGUUUUUCUGCCUCUUUGUGAGACUGGGAGACUUGUGAGGGGGUGUGUGGGUGUGUGUGGGGGUGUAUUCCUCUUCCCAAACCCUGUGAUUUCCAUUAGCUACUUUCCCUCUGGAUUUCCCCCUUGAAGCACCCCCAAAAUUGAACCCUCAGCGGAUGGAGGUCUUGUAGCGAUGGUUUCACGCCUGCAGAGAGUUUGAGGGGAACAGGAGGAGGAAGUUUGCAGAGCGCUCCUUUUUAGGGGAAGACAAAAAAA
Molecule: long non-coding RNA, 992 nt
Organism: Crotalus tigris (Tiger rattlesnake)
Lineage: Eukaryota; Metazoa; Chordata; Lepidosauria; Squamata; Viperidae
Exons: 2
Source: RefSeq, a predicted model, not a curated record